UCGUCUAGGUGAGAGUGACCUUCGUCGUCCAAGAGGUGAUGGUGAUCUAUGAUGGCGCCCAGGAGAAGGUGAUUUGUGUCGAGGCCCGGGAGAAGGUGAUCUGUGUCGAGGCCCGGGGGAAGGUGAUCUACGUCGGCGCCCAGGGGAAGGUGAUCUACGCCGACGCACAGGGGAAGGUGAUCUACGUCGACGUACUGGAGAAGGUGGUCUACGCCGUCGCACAAGAGAAGGUGAUCUACGUCGUCGAAAAGAUGGUGAUCUACGAUGAACUGGAGAAUGCAUUCUACGUCGUACAGGAGAAGGAGAUCUAGAUCUUCUUGAAUAAGGUAUCCUCCUAUAAGGAGAACGUCGUGGUGAAUGCCUGUGAGGAGAAAUAGACCGUCGUCGUGGAGAAUGACGA
Molecule: long non-coding RNA, 400 nt
Filed under: Glycine max (soybean)
Lineage: Eukaryota; Viridiplantae; Streptophyta; Magnoliopsida; Fabales; Fabaceae
Description: long non-coding RNA (GMAX_LNC002585)
Source: RNAcentral